AAACAUCUAAGUACCCCGAGGAAAAGAAAUCAACCGAGAUUCCCUCAGUAGCGGCGAGCGAACGGGGAUUAGCCCUUAAGCAUCUUGGAAGUUAGUGGAACGGUCCUGGAAAGGCCGGCGAUACAGGGUGAUAGCCCCGUACACGAAAACAACCUUGAUGUGAAAUCGAGUAGGGCGGGACACGUGACAUCCUGUCUGAAUAUGGGGGGACCAUCCUCCAAGGCUAAAUACUCCUGACUGACCGAUAGUGAACCAGUACCGUGAGGGAAAGGCGAAAAGAACCCCUGUGAGGGGAGUGAAAUAGAACCUGAAACCGUGUACGUACAAGCAGUGGGAGCCCUUCGGGGUGACUGCGUACCUUUUGUAUAAUGGGUCAGCGACUUACAUUUUGUAGCGAGGUUAACCGUAUAGGGGAGCCGUAGGGAAACCGAGUCUUAACUGGGCGUCUAGUUGCAAGGUGUAGACCCGAAACCGGGUGAUCUAGCCAUGGGCAGGUUGAAGGUUGAGUAACAUCAACUGGAGGACCGAACCCACUAACGUUGCAAAGUUAGGGGAUGACCUGUGGCUGGGGGUGAAAGGCCAAUCAAACUCGGAGAUAGCUGGUUCUCCCCGAAAGCUAUUUAGGUAGCGCCUCGGACGAAUACUACUGGGGGUAGAGCACUGUUUGGGCUAGGGGGUCAUCCCGACUUACCAACCCCAUGCAAACUCCGAAUACCAGUAAGUAAUAUCCGGGAGACACACGGCGGGUGCUAACGUCCGUCGUGAAGAGGGAAACAACCCAGACCGCCGGCUAAGGUCCCAAAGUUCUGGUUAAGUGGGAAACGAUGUGGGAAGGCUCAGACAGCUAGGAUGUUGGCUUAGAAGCAGCCAUCAUUUAAAGAAAGCGUAAUAGCUCACUAGUCGAGUCGGCCUGCGCGGAAGAUGUAACGGGGCUCAAACCAGGCACCGAAGCCGCGGAUUCACGCUAAGCGUGAGUGGUAGGGGAGCGUUCUGUAAGUCUGCGAAGGUGUGUCGAGAGGCAUGCUGGAGAUAUCAGAAGUGCGAAUGCUGACGUAAGUAACGAUAAAGGGGGUGAAAAGCCUCCUCGCCGGAAGACCAAGGGUUCCUGUCCAACGUUAAUCGGGGCAGGGUGAGUCGACCCCUAAGGUGAGGCCGAAAGGCGUAAUCGAUGGGAAGCAGGUUAAUAUUCCUGCACGACUUGUAAUUGCGAUGGGGGGACGGAGAAGGCUAGGUGGGCCAGGCGACGGUUGUCCUGGUGAAAGUGCGUAGGUGGUGUUUCUAGGCAAAUCCGGAGACACAACAC
RNAcentral lists this ribosomal RNA (1303 nucleotides) under Aeromonas dhakensis. Its description in RNAcentral is "partial 23S ribosomal RNA". It matches the Rfam family "Bacterial large subunit ribosomal RNA", at positions 196 to 1556 of the family's 2925-position model. Lineage: Bacteria; Pseudomonadati; Pseudomonadota; Gammaproteobacteria; Aeromonadales; Aeromonadaceae. The record is from RNAcentral.